UUGUUCGCAAUGGGCGCAAGCCUGACGACGCAACGCCGCGUGGAGGACGAAGAUCUUCGGGUCGUAAACUCCUGUCGAGCGGGAAGAACGCUUCCCGGGUGAACAGCCCGGGAAAUUGACGGUACCGCUAAAGGAAGCCCCGGCUAACUCCGUGCCAGCAGCCGCGGUAAUACGGGGGGGGCAAGCGUUGUUCGGAAUUACUGGGCGUAAAGGGCUCGUAGGCGGCCAACUAAGUCGGAUGUGAAAUCCCCAGGCUCAACCUGGGAACUGCAUCCGAUACUGGAUGGCUUGAAUCCGGGAGAGGGAUGCAGAAUUCCAGGUGUAGCGGUGAAAUGCGUAGAUAUCUGGAGGAAUACCGGUGGCGAAGGCGGCAUCCUGGACCGGCAUUGACGCUGAGGAGCGAAAGCUAGGGGAGCAAACGGG
RNAcentral lists this ribosomal RNA (423 nucleotides) under uncultured bacterium. RNAcentral describes it as "bacterial SSU rRNA". It matches the Rfam family "Bacterial small subunit ribosomal RNA", at positions 362 to 776 of the family's 1533-position model. The record is from RNAcentral.